Molecule: ribosomal RNA, 254 nt
Filed under: uncultured bacterium
Lineage: Bacteria
Description: partial 16S ribosomal RNA
Rfam family: Bacterial small subunit ribosomal RNA
Source: RNAcentral
UACGUAGGGUGCGAGCGUUGUCCGGAAUUAUUGGGCGUAAAGAGCUCGUAGGCGGUCUGUCGCGUCGGUCGUGAAAACUUGGGGCUUAACCCUGAGCUUGCGGUCGAUACGGGCAUGACUGGAGUUCGGUAGGGGAGGCUGGAAUUCCUGGUGUAGCGGUGAAAUGCGCAGAUAUCAGGAGGAACACCGGUGGCGAAGGCGGGUCUCUGGGCCGAUACUGACGCUGAGGAGCGAAAGCGUGGGGAGCGAACAGG